RNAcentral lists this long non-coding RNA (1470 nucleotides) under Betta splendens (Siamese fighting fish). RNAcentral's name for it is "lncRNA (ENSBSLG00000024931.1)". The record is from RNAcentral. Lineage: Eukaryota; Metazoa; Chordata; Actinopteri; Anabantiformes; Osphronemidae.
AUGGGCUGCUCGUCGUCCAGCGCUCAGACGGUUGAUCAAGAGAAAAGACCAGGGACGAAGCCAGAGGAGAGCAGCGGAGCCUCACUGGUCAAAAAUGGCAUCAUUGCAGAAGAUUCCCACACCAUUGAGGACCAGCUGCAGCUCCCGGUGCAGACGGCCUUACCAGAGGACCUUCAUCCAGGGCCUGAGGAUGAGGCAGAAGCUGUUUUAGUGGCCCUGGAGGCCCAGGAGGACCUGGGCUCUGGAGAAGAUCUCCUGGCUGAGCCUGAACCACAGCUGGAGGCUGUUGUCUCCAAAGAAGUGGCUCCAGAGGCUCCAGCAGAGGACGCUGCUGAAGCUACUCUAAAAGAGAACGAGGCAGCAGGCUCUGCAGAGGAUGAUGCCCCUGUUAAAAAUGAGCUGCUCCCCGCUGUUGUUGAGCUCCCCCCUGCGUUUGAACCCGUCGUGUCGGAAGCAGAAGAGGCUGCAGUGGUCGUGGAAGAGGCAGCAGAGAACACAGAGGCGCCUGAAGUAGUAACGGCUUCUAUGGAGGCGCCAACUGAUAACGUGGCACCAGGGGCUGCUUUAGCAACACCACCUGAACCUAUUCAACCAGGUGAAACAGCAGCACAGGGUGAAGCUCCAGGGGGUGAAGCUCCAGGAGGGGAAGCACAAGCAACUGGUGACUUUAAAGCAUCAGGUGAAUCUCAAAUACCAGGUGCAACACGGGUACCAGGUGAAGCUUCAGGACCAGGUGAAGCUCAAGUACCAGGUGAAGCUUCGGGAUCAGAUGAAACUUCAGGACCAGGUGAAGCAUCAGGACCUGGUGAAGCUCAAGUACCAGGUGAAACCCAGGUACCAGGUGAAGCUUCAGGAUCAGAAGAAGCUUCUGGACAAGGUGAAGCACCAGAACCAGGUGAAGCAUCAGGACCAGGUGAAGCAUCAGGACCAGGUGAAGCUUCAGGACCAGUUGAAGCAUUAGGACCAGGUGAAGCCCCUGCAUCAAGUGAAGCUGCAGCAUCAGGUGACGCAUCCUCUGUAGAGUCUGCAGAGCCUGUAAUAGAUCCUGACAUUGCUAUGUCGACCAUCCCAGAGAUGCCACCAUUAACUCCAGUCACAGCUGAGCUUCAAACUGAGCCUCAACCAGCUGCUGAAGAGCCCUCAGUGGACCCCGGUGCCCCGGCUGAGCCUGCCCCACCAGCACCAGCCCCUGAGCUGACCCAGCGAGUGGACGCUCCUCCGGCCACACCACAGGCCUCUGCAGACGAAGGCCCACAGACGUCACCAGCAAAUGAGCACCAGAGCAGAGAGCCAGCGGUGGACGCCGCGUCCCCAGCAGCCUGUGAAGCUCCCUCAGCAGCCUGUGAAGCGCCCUCAGGAGCCUGUGAAGCGCCCUCAGCAGCUGACCCAGCGCCGGAAGCAUCACUGAAAGAGUCUACAGCAGACGCCUCCCAGGACCCAGAGCGUGAGAAAACCAAAAAGGACGACUGA